This 279-nucleotide unclassified non-coding RNA is filed under the name plant metagenome. RNAcentral describes it as "partial contains small subunit ribosomal RNA, internal transcribed spacer 1, and 5.8S ribosomal RNA". The record is from RNAcentral.
UCUCCGUAGGUGAACCAGCGGAAGGAUCAUUACUGAAGAAACCAUGAGAAAGCACUGUCACUCUUACGACUGGCUGCGCACGCCCGACUGCCCUCAGUCACCUUCAUCCCCCCCCAACGUGCACUACCGCGCGCGUCCCCCCCUGGCGCGUCCGGAGCUGGGCUUACGUUUGCACACAAACUUUGAAUUACGAGAAGAAUGUAUUUUUAGUUUUUGCGAACACGCAAUCAAUACAACUUUCAACAACGGAACUCUUGGCUCUCGCAUCGAAGAAGAACG